AGAGAAUGUCGGGAGAGGAAGUGGCGGCUGUGAGUCAGCAUGAGUCAUCUCGUUCCAAUGAGAAUGAAGACUGAGGUGUGCGCCUUUUUUUUUUUUUCUUCUUCUUUUUUUUUUUUUUUUGGUCUCAAUCGUGGGGACAUCAUUGGGAAUGGAGGGAAAUCAGUGACUGUAUGGUUGUUGCUUUUUAAGUUUCCAACUGGCGUUCCAGGCAAGCCGUGCCUGAGCCGGUGUCUGCCGUGAGAUCUUCAGAGCAUGGUUCCUGGGAAGGUAGAACCAUUAGCUUCUCCCUGCCUUAGUAGCCUUGGCACAACAUCAGGCCUUUUCAGAUCUAAGAAAUGGGUGGCACAACUUCAGUCGGGAACACCUAAAUGGAGGACAGAGAAAGGCAGAGAACCCGAAGUGACUGAAGGAAAUCCCUGAGAACAGCCGAGUGAAUAACUGGGAGAUGAAACAGGAAGCUCUAUGACACACUUGAUCGAAAAUGACACAGACGUAGAAAAAUCAGGACUCCAGCACCUCUACCUGCUGUCGGCUGCUGGAAGGCAGGUGACAGCUUUGCCCUGGGACCUGAUUCUAGCUGCCGUGGACUCCAAGGGCCUCCGCAUUCGCUGAUGAUGUGUCUGCGAUAUUGAGGUCGUGGUCUAGUCUGGUCGGUUUCCUAUUUAUCUGGCGAGUCUCUAUGUGUCUUAAUCCCUUUUCCUCCAUUAAAAGCAAAACUAAAGAAAAAUGAAUUGUUUGUUAUUAGCUAUAUUUAAACACUAAUUUAAAGGAUACCAAAUGGCCUUUGAGAUUAAUUUCUACAGGACCACAAGUAAGCCCUACCAUAACCCCACUGGUCAUGAUGACAUCUUUAGAAGAGUGUUGAACUUGAAUCUCUUAUUACUCAGCCUUGCUUGCCCUGCUUUUCCUUCUCCCCCUCUAGAAGACCUCUAGAAGACCUCCCAGUCUGUCCCCAGCACCUGGUACUGGGUCAGUAAUGGCAUAUUGACAUUUAAGAGAAAACACUGGAAGACAUUUGGAAGUCUCUUUCCACACCCACUCUGAUCAUGGCCUCCAAAUGGUGAUCUCAAAAUCGUCACCAACCUGAGCUUUCUACUGGAGACCUCGGUCUUCUCAGCUGCUCUUUCCUUCCCUCCACACAUCAGUUACCCAUUCACUUCUUCAUUCCGCACAGGUUCUUUUGGG
RNAcentral lists this long non-coding RNA (1185 nucleotides) under Equus asinus (donkey). RNAcentral describes it as "lncRNA (ENSEASG00005028413.1)". The record is from RNAcentral. Lineage: Eukaryota; Metazoa; Chordata; Mammalia; Perissodactyla; Equidae.